GCCCUGCAUGCAAGAGGUUGCACCUGCACCCCUGCUAUCACAAAUCCUCACACAAACCAUGUCUCCAGGCGAAAGGGUAGUAGGUGGCAAUCGGUGAUUCCCUUCAGCCUUAAACAAUACUAGGUGCAUUCCUCCUAAUCCUGUAGAUGUGCUAACUGCAUGCAAGUUGCAGAUAGUGUCACAGAGCUCUUGCUGAACCUGACCAUGGCUAACCAAGAACUCAAUCGGUUUAGAUGAAUCAUAACUUUCAUCGCGCAUAGGAACAGCAUUCAACUCCUCCUGGGUGAACUCCAAUUCAGCAUCCCUCUCUAUACGGAGCAAUUCUGAC
This 328-nucleotide unclassified non-coding RNA is filed under the name Hevea brasiliensis (rubber tree). Lineage: Eukaryota; Viridiplantae; Streptophyta; Magnoliopsida; Malpighiales; Euphorbiaceae. The record is from RNAcentral.